Long non-coding RNA from Suricata suricatta (meerkat), 221 nucleotides. RefSeq lists it as uncharacterized. The transcript is spliced from 2 exons. NCBI's taxonomy places the organism in Eukaryota, Metazoa, Chordata, Mammalia, Carnivora, Herpestidae. The record is from RefSeq and is a predicted model, not a curated record.
UCCCAGUGACUCUGGCACAAUUCUGACUUCACUUUGUUUCAGUGGCUCCUUAUCAAAGACUGUGGUGACCAACCAUCCCAGAAGAAAGAAAAGCCCCAAACCUGGAACAACCCAAAUGGUGGCUACUCUAGAAAACCGUGGAGCAUAUUUAUCUCUUUCACAUUAAACAACAACAACAACAACUUAUAAGAAUAAAGUGAUUCAGCAGCUAUUGAUAAUGA